Molecule: transfer-messenger RNA, 398 nt
Filed under: Flavobacteriales
Lineage: Bacteria; Pseudomonadati; Bacteroidota; Flavobacteriia
Also listed under: 1 other name
Description: PHOS-HE28 sp016710015 Standard tmRNA
Rfam family: transfer-messenger RNA
About the family: Bacterial tmRNA, also known as 10Sa RNA or SsrA, is named for its dual tRNA and mRNA-like properties.
Source: RNAcentral
GGGGCCGACAUGGAUUCGACAGCGGCUUCGUGAUGUGUGUAAGCAUGCCGGGUGUGUGGUGCGACCCGUAUCCCAGUGCCACAAUGCUGUAACAGGCAACAACGACUACGCUCUCGCAGCUUAAUAGCCCAAGGCUAUUCGGCUUAAUUCGCGCGAAUAACAGUACCGCGAACGAGUACCUCUCGGGGAGGCCCGUCAACCUCCUUCCCGGCUUCGAGGUGUCAUCAUGGAAGACUGGCCUGUGCGGUGGUCCGAAGCACAGGUAAGACACUGGACCUAAGUCGACACUGGGGUGCCCUUCCCCAGGUGCCGGUCGAAAACCAAUGAAGAGGCUACGCAUGUAGAAAGCCCAUGUUGCGGUCGUUUGGACGAGGGUUCGAUCCCCUCCGGCUCCACCU